Molecule: ribosomal RNA, 496 nt
Filed under: uncultured bacterium
Lineage: Bacteria
Description: partial 16S ribosomal RNA
Rfam family: Bacterial small subunit ribosomal RNA
Source: RNAcentral
AUGCACGCUGGCGGCGUGCCUAAUACAUGCAAGUCGAGCGAACAGACGAGGAGCUUGCUCCUCUGACGUUAGCGGCGGACGGGUGAGUAACACGUGGAUAACCUACCUUUAAGACUGGGAUAACUUCGGGAAACCGGAGCUAAUACCGGAUAAUAUAUUGAACCGCAUGGUUCAAUAGUGAAAGACGGUUUUGCUGUCACUUAUAGAUGGAUCCGCGCCGCAUUAGCUAGUUGGUAAGGUAACGGCUUACCAAGGCAACGAUGCGUAGCCGACCUGAGAGGGUGAUCGGCCACACUGGAACUGAGACACGGUCCAGACUCCUACGGGAGGCAGCAGUAGGGAAUCUUCCGCAAUGGGCGAAAGCCUGACGGAGCAACGCCGCGUGAGUGAUGAAGGUCUUCGGAUCGUAAAACUCUGUUAUUAGGGAAGAACAAAUGUGUAAGUAACUAUGCACGUCUUGACGGUACCUAAUCAGAAAGCCACGGCUAACUACGUG